Nicotiana tabacum (common tobacco) is the source of this 1524-nucleotide non-coding RNA. NCBI's taxonomy places the organism in Eukaryota, Viridiplantae, Streptophyta, Magnoliopsida, Solanales, Solanaceae. The record is from RefSeq and is a predicted model, not a curated record.
ACAGUUGCAAGGCUUAUUUAUCUCAACAACUUCCUUGCUUUGAGCAGAUUUUGAACUUCAGCAGUUAUCCAAAAUUUCCAGCCGUUGAGGCAGUAAUUUCAACAAGAUUUUACAAGAGAAGUUUCUGUUUUAUAUCUAAGGGAAAUGAUGCCUUCCUCUCAACAUUCUCCUUGACUUGUGAGUUACAGACAUAGUAUUUCGAAUCAUUGCUAAAAGCAUCUGCCUAAUUGUGGUCCUUCUCCAAUCUGUAGAUCUAAAAUUUGCUCAAUUACUAAUUUUAAGUUCCCUUUGUAAGUAAGAUAUCCUGGAAGAGGCAGUAUAGCAGCCAUUCCUUGCCGAAUUUCAUGCUUUACUGGUGACAUGAGUAGGUGGGAGUGUUGAGACUACCUUACAGUUAUGAAAUGAUCAUUUAUAUAUAAAAUGGAGUUUUGUAUUUCUCUGGCAAAAAAGUUGUAAGGUGAAAUAGGACCAAGUGGAUCAUAGCAUUGUGAAGGCUCUUAGAGGCUUGCAGACAAUUUUGUUUUUAUCACUUAAACACCGCCCCCCGUCCUUCUCUCGAGAUCGAUCGAUCGAGAGAGCCAGCUGAGCGGAUGUGUUGCUUGCUUAUUUCUGGGAAAAGCUAUAGUAAAUGUUGCAGAAUAGUUUAUUAACUUCUCUGCUCCUUCAUCCAGUGGUUCUGAUAGAACUCUGUGCAAUCACUGCAAAGGAAGAGAAGCUGAACUUUAUUGCAGAUCCGUAACUAAUGUGGCUGAACUAGAGAAGCUUUUUGGGAGGCUAUGGACACAAUGCCAAGAAUGCCAAGGCUCUCUCCAUCAGGAUGUCCUAUGCACUAGUCGGGACUGCCCAAUAUUUUAUCGGAGGAAGAAGGCCCAGAAAGACAUGGCUGAAGCCAAACUUCAAUUGGAUCGGUGGAACUUUUAAACUUCAAUGCGGGAAUCUUCAUUGCUGCAAGUUCAACCUGUCAUUUAACAAAGUAUCAUAAUUUUCUCAUUCUCUCAUUUUCUGGUGUGGAGAGUAGCAGAAAGUUCGAAAUGAUUUGAAUAGCUGAGACUAUUACGUACUCUGGAGAUAUAGCAAAUGCUUCGAAAGGAUGUGUCAUGGUCGUUCAGGAGCUGUUUUGCUGAAGUAUGAACGUAUUUAGAGUCAAUAUGAGGCUUCCUCAAAUCUAAGAACUGCUAUUAUACACGAAAAUUGUCAGGCUGGAGGAGUUUAAACUUCAAAUCGUUUCAAGGAUGGGAUUCAGACAAACUUUUGUAGCUCCCAGCAACUGGCUAGUGUAAAAUUUUAGUAUUGAUUUAGAGGUGUUCAUGAGAUUAGAUGACUGGAGAAAUUGAGAUUUUAGAUUAUGUUAUCUGUACAGGUGUUUCUGUAGGUAUGUACAAGUGUUUUGGAGUUGCCAUUUACUAGUAACAGUUCACUGCAAGUGCAACACUAAAAUUCUUGGCAUAGUAAGCAUGACGUAAUGUAAGCCAAGGUUCCAAAAAUAGAUGUUGCAAUCAGCCUUGUUUGAUCUCUCGCUGCAUA